CGGAAGGCGGCUUCCUCUGGACACGAGCACAGGUGAGCUGUGUAGACGGGGCCUGCGUUAGCAAACAGCCCGCCCACCACGCUCCCUCCUCGUCCCAGGCGGUGAACUGCAGGGCGGGCGCACCUGUCUUGCUCAGCAUGUUGGAGGUGCCAGGCAGAAAAUGGGGUGAGGCCUGUGUUCGUGGGGCCCGGGGGAGGUGCCAGGUAGAAAA
RNAcentral lists this long non-coding RNA (211 nucleotides) under Sus scrofa (pig). RNAcentral's name for it is "lncRNA (ENSSSCG00005030974.1)". Lineage: Eukaryota; Metazoa; Chordata; Mammalia; Artiodactyla; Suidae. The record is from RNAcentral.